RNAcentral lists this unclassified non-coding RNA (280 nucleotides) under Bombus terrestris (buff-tailed bumblebee). RNAcentral's name for it is "misc RNA ENSBTSG00005022896.1". Lineage: Eukaryota; Metazoa; Arthropoda; Insecta; Hymenoptera; Apidae. The record is from RNAcentral.
AGCGGGAGGGAAGGAGAGAGGCAAGAACGUUAUUUCUAUUCCACGGAGAACUGGUUCUACCAUUGGAAGAGGCGAGCGCGCGCCGCGCGUGCCACUCGCGUGUGUCACGUGUCCCUACAGAGAGGUAACAGGCAAAGAGGUAACAGGUAAGCGGCAAGGCUGGAACCGCAGGCUGCAGCUGCAUUGUGAACGUUCACGCGCGCCUUUUCUCUCGUGGUACCGUGAUAAGCUGCAAUUAAAUUGAUUGGCUCGCGGAAUUCAGCUGCGAACACACACACCG